Ahaetulla prasina is the source of this 1398-nucleotide long non-coding RNA. RefSeq lists it as uncharacterized. Lineage: Eukaryota; Metazoa; Chordata; Lepidosauria; Squamata; Colubridae. The transcript has 3 exons. The record is from RefSeq and is a predicted model, not a curated record.
CCUCCACGUUGCUGAGAGCAAGGAAAACAGCUGAGGAGCGGCAAUCCACUCUGCCGCCCCGAUCAGCUGGGCUUUGGAAGCAGACAUAUAGGAGAUCAAAAAAAAUCCUCCUUUGUCCUAUCCACACCAGCCCUGUGAGAUGCUGGGGGUGGGCGAAAGAGAUGAAUCCAAAGUGAUUUUUUGGUCCAGGAAGUCUUUUCUGACCUUGACUACUGAAAUCUGAAGCAAUAAAAUACACGACAAAGAGGAAGAGCCACGUCCUCAAGACGAAGAUGAGGUCAAUAUAUAUUUGGACAGAUAUUCUAACUAAUUCCACUCCACCACUGAUGUCCAAGUUCCCAGGAACUGUACAGAGUCUAAGAGGGUUAGAAGAUAAAGGAUGCUUGCUUCUUUAUUGCAAAGAUAAAUAACUUAAUUAGCAUGAAACGCUUUCCAUCCGGUUUGACCUUAGGGAUAAAUUGCAGAAUGAACAGGGGCUUUGUGGAUUUCAGACUGGAAUUGAGUAACAAUCUUGGUCCGUAUUGAAAUGAACAGGCAAUGCAAUAAUGAAUUACAGUAAGAAACAUAGACUAGGGAAGAACGGUUGGCUCUUGGGUGAUCCUGGAUGACUCCCUCACCCUCAGCUCAACCUUCUCAAGAUCAUUCCUGGGAAGGUAAAAUUGUGGGAGGAUUUUAUUUUAUUUAUUAUUUAUUUUUCAUAUUUUUAUACCGCCCUAUCUCCCUAGGGACUCAGGGCGGUUCACAACCAGAUAAAAAAUAUACAUAUAAAUACAAAUAAAACAUCCAUUAAAAAACUUAUUAUAAUUGGCCGAAUAAUUAAAAUGAUAAUAAAAAUAAUAAAAUCCCCAUUAAAACCAAUUCAAAUUUAAAAUCUAGUCCAGUUGAAAUUGCUUUGAGCUUUCAGAGGAAAAAAAAUAAGGCUUUGUUAUGCCACAAAUACAGGUAGUCCUCAACUUUCAACAGUUCAUUUAAUGACUGUUCGAAGGUAUAACAGAACUGAAAAAAAUGACUUAUGGCUACUUUUCAUACUUAUGACCAUUGCAGCCUGCAUGUGGUUAUGUGAUCACAAUUCAGACACUUGCCAACUGACUCCUAUUUAUGAUGUAAUGUCAUGUCAUCCCCUUCUGACAAGCAAAGUCAAUGGGAAAGCCUGUGAUUCACUUAACAAAUGUGGCAAGAAAGGUCAUAAAAUGGGGCAAAAUUCAAAUGUCUCACUUAGCAGCAGAAAUAUUUGGCUCCAUUGUGGUUGCAAAUCGAAGACCUGGGAAUGUCACCUGCAGAUCAGUGAAUAAAUAAAAUCAUCUGAUGUGAAAGAUGGUCUUAUGAGAUUUUCUAUUACUCUCCAUCUAUUGAACUCAAUUGUAUAUUAUUUAUAGUUUUCAAAACGCCGCCUAUAAU